Molecule: transfer-messenger RNA, 373 nt
Filed under: Bacteroidia
Lineage: Bacteria; Pseudomonadati; Bacteroidota
Also listed under: 1 other name
Description: RFHL01 sp003696875 Standard tmRNA
Rfam family: transfer-messenger RNA
About the family: Bacterial tmRNA, also known as 10Sa RNA or SsrA, is named for its dual tRNA and mRNA-like properties. Its role is to liberate the mRNA from a stalled ribosome. To accomplish this part of the tmRNA is used as a reading frame that ends in a translation stop signal.
Source: RNAcentral
GGGGACGACACGGUAUAGACGGGUCGAUAAAUGCAAGGUAUAAGCAUGCAGUGGGCUGUAGCUGAACCACUUAAAUCCUCAACUACAAACCAUAACUGGCGACAACAACUACGCGCUGGCUGCCUAAUUAGAUUAGGACAGCUAGCUGUCUCCCGGUCCGGAAGUGUCUACCGGCCGGCCAUAGUGGAGGCACAGACACCCAGGUAGACUUCGGUCGGGCUUCGCUGCGCGCCUGACUCAAGACAAAGCGGCACCCUCACUCGCAGUUCCUGUCGUUCGGGGAGCGAAGUGAAAACAAUAGAGCGACUAAGCAUGUAGAAGGCCUUGUGGUUGUCUUCUCCGGACGCGGGUUCGACUCCCGCCGUCUCCACCC